CGUAGGGUGCGAGCGUUAAUCGGAAUUACUGGGCGUAAAGCGUGCGCAGGCGGUUUUGUAAGACAGGCGUGAAAUCCCCGGGGCUCAACCUGGGAACUGCGCUUGUGACUGCAAGGCUAGAGUACGGCAGAGGGGGGUGGAAUUCCACGUGUAGCAGUGAAAUGCGCAGAGAUGUGGAGGAACACCAAUGGCGAAGGCAGCCCCCUGGGUCGAUACUGACGCUCAUGCACGAAAGCGUGGGUAGCAAACAGGAUUAGAUACCCUGGUAGUCCACGCCCUAAACGAUGUCAACUAGGUGUUGGGUGGGUAAAACCAUUUAGUACCGGAGCUAACGCGUGAAGUUGACCGCCUGGGGAGUACGGCCGCAAGGUUA
RNAcentral lists this ribosomal RNA (373 nucleotides) under uncultured organism. RNAcentral's name for it is "bacterial SSU rRNA". It matches the Rfam family "Bacterial small subunit ribosomal RNA", at positions 526 to 896 of the family's 1533-position model. The record is from RNAcentral.